This 403-nucleotide ribosomal RNA is filed under the name uncultured bacterium. RNAcentral describes it as "bacterial SSU rRNA". It matches the Rfam family "Bacterial small subunit ribosomal RNA", at positions 355 to 775 of the family's 1533-position model. The record is from RNAcentral.
UGGGGAAUAUUGGGCAAUGGACGAAAGUCUGACCCAGCCAUGCCGCGUGAAUGAUGAAGGCCUUAGGGUUGUAAAGUUCUUUUGCAGGGGACGAUGAUGACGGUACCCUGAGAAUAAGCUCCGGCUAACUUCGUGCCAGCAGCCGCGGUAAUACGAAGGGAGCUAGCGUUGUUCGGAAUCACUGGGCGUAAAGCGUGCGCAGGCGGCUUUUUAAGCCAGAGGUGAAAUGCCAGGGCUCAACCCUGGAACUGCCUUUGGAACUGAAAAGCUGGAGUCUCGGAGAGGUUCGGGGAAUUCCUAAUGUAGCGGUGAAAUGCGUAGAUAUUAGGAGGAACACCAGUGGCGAAGGCGCCGAACUGGACGAGUACUGACGCUCAUGCACGAAAGCGUGGGGAUCAAACAG